This 469-nucleotide ribosomal RNA is filed under the name uncultured bacterium. RNAcentral's name for it is "bacterial SSU rRNA". It matches the Rfam family "Bacterial small subunit ribosomal RNA", at positions 32 to 510 of the family's 1533-position model. The record is from RNAcentral.
AAUCAACGCUGGCGGCGUGCCUCAGACAUGCAAGUCGAACGAUUAAAGCUCUCUUCGGAGAGUGCAUAGAGUGGCGCACGGGUGAGUAACACGUAAGUAAUCUACCUUCGAGUGGGGAAUAACAGUCGGAAACGACUGCUAAUACCGCAUAAUGCAGCGGCAUCGCAAGAUGACAGUUGUUAAAGGAGCAAUUCGCUUGAAGAGGAGCUGCGGCAGAUUAGCUAGUUGGUAAGGUAAUGGCUUACCAAGGCUACGAUCUGUAACCGGUCUAAGAGGACGGUCGGUCACACUGACACUGAAUAACGGGUCAGACUCCUACGGGAGGCAGCAGUCGGGAAUUUUGGGCAAUGGGCGAAAGCCUGACCCAGCAACGCCGCGUGAAGGAUGAAGUAUUUCGGUAUGUAAACUUCGAAAGAAUGGGAAGAAUAAAUGACGGUACCAUUUAUAAGGUCCGGCUAACUACGUGCCA